AGCGAACGCUGGCGGCGUGCUUAACACAUGCAAGUCGAACGAUGAACCACUUCGGUGGGGAUUAGUGGCGAACGGGUGAGUAACACGUGGGCAAUCUGCCCUUCACUCUGGGACAAGCCCUGGAAACGGGGUCUAAUACCGGAUAACACUGCCACGGGCAUCUGUGGUGGUUAAAAGCUCCGGCGGUGAAGGAUGAGCCCGCGGCCUAUCAGCUUGUUGGUGAGGUAAUGGCNCACCAAGGCGACGACGGGUAGCCGGCCUGAGAGGGCGACCGGCCACACUGGGACUGAGACACGGCCCAGACUCCUACGGGAGGCAGCAGUGGGGAAUAUUGCACAAUGGGCGAAGGCCUGAUGCAGCGACGCCGCGUGAGGGAUGACGGCCUGG
This 387-nucleotide ribosomal RNA is filed under the name uncultured bacterium. RNAcentral describes it as "bacterial SSU rRNA". It matches the Rfam family "Bacterial small subunit ribosomal RNA", at positions 30 to 419 of the family's 1533-position model. The record is from RNAcentral.